This 72-nucleotide transfer RNA is filed under the name Rhamnusium bicolor. RNAcentral's name for it is "tRNA-OTHER". Lineage: Eukaryota; Metazoa; Arthropoda; Insecta; Coleoptera; Cerambycidae. The record is from RNAcentral.
GAUUCGUGGUCUAGUGUAAGGACACUUGCCUCUCACUCUGGAGUCCCGGGUUCGAUCCCUGGUCGAGGAGCU